RNAcentral lists this ribosomal RNA (471 nucleotides) under uncultured bacterium. Its description in RNAcentral is "bacterial SSU rRNA". It matches the Rfam family "Bacterial small subunit ribosomal RNA", at positions 18 to 504 of the family's 1533-position model. The record is from RNAcentral.
CAUGGCUCAGGACGAACGCUGGCGGCGUGCUUAACACAUGCAAGUCGAACGGAAAGGCCCUGCUUGCAGGGUACUCGAGUGGCGAACGGGUGAGUAACACGUGGGUGAUCUGCCCUGCACUUCGGGAUAAGCCUGGGAAACUGGGUCUAAUACCGGAUAGGAGCCAUUUUUAGUGUGAUGGUUGGAAAGUUUUUUCGGUGUAGGAUGAGCUCGCGGCCUAUCAGCUUGUUGGUGGGGUAAUGGCCUACCAAGGCGGCGACGGGUAGCCGGCCUGAGAGGGUGGACGGCCACAUUGGGACUGAGAUACGGCCCAGACUCCUACGGGAGGCAGCAGUGGGGAAUAUUGCACAAUGGGCGCAAGCCUGAUGCAGCGACGCCGCGUGGGGGAUGACGGCCUUCGGGUUGUAAACUCCUUUCGCUAGGGACGAAGCUUUUGUGACGGUACCUAGAUAAGAAGCACCGGCUAACUAC